This 467-nucleotide ribosomal RNA is filed under the name uncultured bacterium. RNAcentral describes it as "partial 16S ribosomal RNA". It matches the Rfam family "Bacterial small subunit ribosomal RNA", at positions 28 to 507 of the family's 1533-position model. The record is from RNAcentral.
GAUGAACGCUGGCGGCGUGCUUAACACAUGCAAGUCGAACGGUGAAGCAGAGCUUGCUCUGUGGAUCAGUGGCGAACGGGUGAGUAACACGUGAGCAACCUGCCCCUGACUCUGGGAUAAGCGCUGGAAACGGCGUCUAAUACUGGAUAUGAGCUGCGACCGCAUGGUCAGCAGUUGGAAAGAUUUUUCGGUCUGGGAUGGGCUCACGGCCUAUCAGCUUGUUUGUGAGGUAAUGGCUCACCAAGGCGUCGACGGGUAGCCGGCCUGAGAGGGUGACCGGCCACACUGGGACUGAGACACGGCCCAGACUCCUACGGGAGGCAGCAGUGGGGAAUAUUGCACAAUGGGCGAAAGCCUGAUGCAGCAACGCCGCGUGAGGGAUGACGGCCUUCGGGUUGUAAACCUCUUUUAGCAGGGAAGAAGCGAAAGUGACGGUACCUGCAGAAAAAGCGCCGGCUAACUACGUG